GGAUGAAUAUUGGUCAAUGGAGGCAACUCUGAACCAGCCAUGCCGCGUGCAGGAUGACGGUCCUAUGGAUUGUAAACUGCUUUUGUACAGGAAGAAACCCUACUUCGUGAAGUAGAUUGACGGUACUGUAAGAAUAAGGAUCGGCUAACUCCGUGCCAGCAGCCGCGGUAAUACGGAGGAUCCAAGCGUUAUCCGGAAUCAUUGGGUUUAAAGGGUCCGUAGGCGGCUUAGCAAGUCAGUGGUGAAAUCU
This 250-nucleotide ribosomal RNA is filed under the name uncultured bacterium. RNAcentral describes it as "partial 16S ribosomal RNA". It matches the Rfam family "Bacterial small subunit ribosomal RNA", at positions 355 to 602 of the family's 1533-position model. The record is from RNAcentral.